UGAUGAUGAUGAUGAUGAUGAUGAUGCUGAUGAUGAUAAUGAUAUUGACAAUGAUGGUAAUAGUAAUCAGCAAGAAACUUCAUCAUCAGCAGCUAAA
This 97-nucleotide microRNA precursor is filed under the name Bigelowiella natans CCMP2755. Its description in RNAcentral is "miRNA EPrBNAG00000013515". Lineage: Eukaryota; Cercozoa; Chlorarachniophyceae. The record is from RNAcentral.